GUGUGCGGCCUCAUGAUGAGGCUUGCAGGAUCUCAACCGCUGGUCGGGCCGCCAGUG
RNAcentral lists this non-coding RNA (57 nucleotides) under Methylobacterium tarhaniae. RNAcentral describes it as "Li+-I sequence". It matches the Rfam family "nhaA-I RNA". Rfam says of the family: Acidobacteria, Alphaproteobacteria, Betaproteobacteria and Gammaproteobacteria, Verrucomicrobia, cand. division NC10. Downstream gene The record is from RNAcentral. Lineage: Bacteria; Pseudomonadati; Pseudomonadota; Alphaproteobacteria; Hyphomicrobiales; Methylobacteriaceae.